This 1023-nucleotide long non-coding RNA is filed under the name Arabidopsis lyrata. RNAcentral describes it as "long non-coding RNA (ALYR_LNC001770)". The record is from RNAcentral. Lineage: Eukaryota; Viridiplantae; Streptophyta; Magnoliopsida; Brassicales; Brassicaceae.
AACAUAUCCAUGAAACACAUGAUUCAAAUCCAAGAAAAAAAAAGACAAGUUGACAAGCCUAAAACCCGAAGUAGAAAACUGGAGAUGGAAACACAUUACACAUUCAUGAAAACUAGAAGUAGAUAAUCUCACUCUCCUUGACCAACCCGCAUGAACCUAUACAAGUAAACAAAUAUCAGAAAUCAGAAUGCAAUCUCACUCUUACAUAAUCUAUGUAUCUCACUUAGUUCGGGUAUGACUAACCUUUGUAGACCUACUCAAAUUCACCGACUCAAAUUCAACUUUGCCACUUAAAUUAAAAGAAAAAAAAAAAAAAGAAGAAAGAUCAUGAACAUAAAGAAAAAAUACCAUCACAUCUUCACGGUCUCUGUUUUAUCAUCAACACAAGUAAGAGAAAUUCAUCAUGUACCAUAAGAGAUACUUGCUUGAACUUGACAGGAGAUCUCUUGUACAAAACAAAGCAAAGAAAUUCAACAAAGAAGUGGUUUUCUCAACUGUAACCUAGAGACAGAGCUACCAAGUUUCAUGUUUCAAUGAAACGGAUCAUAAGUUCAUAACUCUAAUAUACUCUCAUCGCAAUAUCAAAGAUCCACCAGUUACUCAAUCAAAUCGACAUAUCAUACAUAAUAUCAGACUAUCAGAGGGUCAAAAUGAUAUAGAUAAUGUCGAGAAAAGGAAAAAAUAAGUACCAAAACAGAGAGAUCAUCGAAAUCGAUUCGAUUUCAUUCCGUAAAAGCUAAAAACCCUAAAGGCCUAAACCAAAACUUAUCAUCGAUUUCAAUCAAUUAUAAACCUAAAACUCGAGAGACGGAGAGAGAUCAUGGACUUGUGAAAUUGGAAUGUACCUUUGAGCGGUUUCUCGACAAGGCCGACGAUGGAGAAGUGACUAGAGACGGUGUCGACCAUGUGGGGGUCUUCGUUUGAGUUUCCAGGUUUGAAUCGGAAAUGGAAAUUGUGGUAAAUGAUGAUUGAUAAAGGAGAGAGUAGAGAUCUAGGGUUCUAGAAUCGAGCAAAGGGAAGAAG